RNAcentral lists this ribosomal RNA (485 nucleotides) under uncultured Glomus. RNAcentral describes it as "SSU rRNA". It matches the Rfam family "Eukaryotic small subunit ribosomal RNA", at positions 562 to 1052 of the family's 1831-position model. The record is from RNAcentral. Lineage: Eukaryota; Fungi; Glomeromycota; Glomeromycetes; Glomerales; Glomeraceae. RNAcentral also lists the same sequence under 1 other name.
UGGUGCCAGCAGCCGCGGUAAUUCCAGCUCCAAUAGCGUAUAUUAAAGUUGUUGCAGUUAAAAAGCUCGUAGUUGAAUUUCGGGAUUAGUACGUUGGUCGUGCCUUAGGUACGUACUGGUGUUACUGGUUCCUACCUUCUGACGAACCAUCAUUUCAUUAAUUUGGUGUGGCGGGGAAUCAGGACUGUUACUUUGAAAAAAUUAGAGUGUUUAAAGCAGGCUCGCGCUUGAAUACAUUAGCAUGGAAUAAUGAAAUAGGACGUUGACCCUAUUUUGUUGGUUUCUAGGAUUGACGUAAUGAUUAAUAGGGAUAGUUGGGGGCAUUAGUAUUCAAUUGUCAGAGGUGAAAUUCUUGGAUUUAUUGAAGACUAACUACUGCGAAAGCAUUUGCCAAGGAUGUUUUCAUUAAUCAAGAACGAAAGUUAGGGGAUCGAAGACGAUCAGAUACCGUCGUAGUCUUAACCAUAAACUAUGCCGACUAGGGA